AAGCAGUCUAUAUCUAUAUAGCUAUAAACUAAGGCGAUUGCAAUUGCGAUUGCGCUACCGGUUCGCAUAUUCAAUUUGCACCAGCAUGCGAAUCGGAUUUUUGAAUCAGCGAUCCUCUUCGCCUUUUUUUUUUGUCUUUAUCUCUUUCUAUUUGCGGUUUACGUUUAUAAUGUUAUGUGUGCUUACUGCGUUUUUUCUGGAAGAAGCUUCAAGUUUAUGGGUGACAUAUAAAAUUAUACAUAUUAUAAAUAUAUCACAGAAAUAUUUUGCCAGUCAAACCGGCUUGAAAAACAUUACCAUUUAUGAAUAUUCUUUAACAUAUAUGUACGUUGAUCAGCACACCCAUAACUUUGAGCUUCUUCUGGACGUUGUUAUCUGUAACUAAUUUUACGUUUUUAUAUCAAUCCUACUAAGUUUUAUGCUGAACUGAUCCCCAGUCCCCUUCCCCCUCCCUCUGUCUAUGGAUAUCUGUUAGAAGUUCCAAUUCUUCACUCACCUGUUGCAUUUACAAUCCCACCUCCCUACAUUCGCAUUUCCAUAACUCACCGGUGCACAAGUUCGAUCUCACUGCACAGUAAACUUCGAUCGUGAUCGUGAUCAUGACCCACAUCCGUUGGGCGACAAGUGCUAUCCUCCAGUUAACAACUAAUGACAGUUGCACCACCGAAAUAGUCAGUGGGUCUGAAAUUAAUUGAAAGUGCGGCUAAUUUGCAUUUAGGAUGCAAGUGCGCGGAAAAGACAGUUAUCUAUCAUCUAUCAUACCUUCAAACCAGCACUCUACUGAGUAAAGUAAAGUUUAAUUUUUCAGGGAUGUAUCUUUAUUGCCCUGUUUAUUUUUGUGAAGUGCAUUCUCUUGACUUGUCCCAAAAGGCUUGUGCAUGCGAUUAGCCUUCGCCGUUGAAGAGCCUUUUUAAAUGCAGCCUUAAGCUGUUUUUGUUUGACAAACAAACUGAAGAACUGGGCGCCGAUCAUUAAGUUUUUUUUUUUUUGGGCUGAAAGCGAAAUCAGGUAGCCGCUGCAAAAACAAACAGCGAGAUUCCCAAAGGCAAAGCCGUAAGAAAAACGAAAUUCGAGAAGAGCCGAUGUGAAGAGGCCCCCAAGAAAACCCAAAACCAAAAACCCAAAACCAAAACUCAAACCCAAUCUGAAGACGAAACUGAAACCCAGAGCUUCAGCAAGUGGGGUUACGUAAGCUGAAGAUAACGUGACUGGCAAGGCUUCGGCAAAGUCGCUGUCGAUCCGUCUUCCUCUUGGCGUUUUGGCGGGUUAAAGGAGGGGUUAAACGAGCUCUGGAAUGGUCUCCCUUGGGUGGUGGUAGUCCAUGUAGUUCAUAAAUUUAGCGACGCUUUUGUCUAGACGAUCUGUUAACUAAGUUGUUUACACCAACUAGAGACUAAUGUUGUGGCGCUCUUUUUGGGUCAUGGGGCCACAAACAAGAAGCUGUGACAAAAAACUUGAGGAUUACGAGAAUGAAUGUACCAGAAAACAGUUUAAGCUGUUUUGGGCAAAACCCAUUGACCAACUAGCCGAGUUAAUUGGCUACUAGCAAUUAAAACGAAUGCAUAAACUCAGAGCUCAUUUGAGGCACCCAUGAUGGAAAUAUCAUUGGAGCUUAAUGGUUUUCUUUGGCACGAAAUAGUUAUAUUUCGGUCGCGGUUUUCAUAUUCGGCAAUCAAUGAACCCAUCAUAAUGAAUGGACCCGUACGUGAUAAUUAGCGAAUUCGCACGGAUCUGAAAUGGGGAAUCGUGCCUCACUUUCGCGUGCCUUGAUUUAUGAUUCAGUCGCAGAUUAUCGUAAUUAAAACACAAUAGGAUAUCAACCAGUUAUGGAUAUAGAUGAAGAUAUGUACACUCAUAAGUUGCGGCAGUUUGAUUUCGACAUUCGACAGCCAAACUGUUGCGAAUUUAUCAAAAGCAGCCGACAAAUUCCAAUCUAUAUAGAAGUGAUUCUGGGGCCAUUUUAAGCCAUAAAUAUUUAUUCAUUUAUGGGAGAGUUUGGUUUCCGUUUCAGUCAGCCUGCCCCUUGACAUUUUUAAGCCAAUCAUAUGCACAAUGAAAUCACAUUUCAUCUGGCCAUUUCAAGUGCAAUAAACACAUUUUGUUUCUCAUCGAAGUAUAAUUUACAACUUUGGAUUGUGUUUUAAAGAUUUGGCACGGCAUUUGACACAUUUCGUUAGCCAUUUCUGUGUGGGAUGACAGCCCAAUAUGUCGAUAAAUCCAAGGCCUGCGAGAUGAUAUUAACGAAUAUUAAUAAAAAUCCAUUACAUUUGCUGUUCGCUGAUUCCAGCGAAGGUUGUCCAGGCACAGAAACAUGUCAAAAUCAAGAAGAUGGUGGGUGCAGAUGUCGUGAAGCCGUCAAUCAAUUAAAAAUUAAAUUCAAUAAACAUAAACAGUGAGGGAGAUGGCGAUGGUGAUGGCGAUGGAGAUGUCGUUGCGAAUGAAGAUGGCGCUGGAGACAAGCAAAAUUAAUUGGCCUGAACUUGAGCAGCGUUUUGCGGCGGAAGUGCGGGGAAUUUCAAUUAUUUCGGCAUAAUCCGAAAUGAGAAAUAAAUAACACUUUCGGCUGCCAGCCGUGACGCAAAUCAUCUUCACUAUCUCUGCGGAGCAUUCAAGUUUAUGAGCGGCCGAGCUGCAGUCGAAAGUUCAGGGCUUCCUUUUAUACGGCCAAGCCCGUUCGUCCCAAAAUGUAAAUGAGCCUCAAUUGCUCGUGGCCAUAGAAUAGAGAUAUGCACAUGUGCUUAGCAGCCGGAACUGACUUGGCUGGCGAAUUCGAAGCAACGCCCACCGCGAUCUGGCUUAGUCACAUUCAAGUUGACCGCAGAGCAGAAACAGCAUUAACAGAAUUCCCCAACGGCAGCGCCUAAUUAAAAUAUUCCACAUCUACAGUAUAGCCACAAUUUAUUCAGUUAUUCCGUUUGUUGCUGCUAACAGGAAUCGAGGCGCAGAUCAGAAAUCAGAAGCUGGCUGAGAAUCUUUCAGAUAUCCAAGGAAAUUAUUAUUAAUUAUACGAACAUGGCACGAGCACCGCACAAUGCCCAUGGCGAAAAUAACAAAAUCGUUGUCAGUGCAAUCAUUAGCCAUUAAUUCGGUUGUCGUUGCUGUCAAAGUCAGCUGUCACAUGGAUUCCCCGAUUCCCAGACUCCCAGCAACAAAACAAUGAGUGUUCAUUUGAUAAAACCCAUUCAACAAUCGGACAGUGCGUUUCAAGAGUGUAAGACUACGUUUCGGAUUGACCCUUAAACAUUGGCAUUGCACAAAAAGAGUCACUAAUGUGUGCCAGUUAAUUACUUAUCUUUUUCUCGUAAGUGGACUUUUCAUACAAAGUAAACAAAAAAAGUCUUAGAUUUUCUUACUUACGAUAUAUAAUUGGCGAAUUGUCGCUAUUAGGUUGAAUUAUUUACUAGCGUUUCAUGCUCGGACGACACGAAACGCACAGUAUGCCC
Molecule: small RNA, 3443 nt
Filed under: Drosophila yakuba
Lineage: Eukaryota; Metazoa; Arthropoda; Insecta; Diptera; Drosophilidae
Description: GE27779
Source: RNAcentral